GAUGAACGCUGGCGGCGUGCCUAAUACAUGCAAGUCGAACGCUGAAGGAGGAGCUUGCUCUUCUGGAUGAGUUGCGAACGGGUGAGUAACGCGUAGGUAACCUGCCUUGUAGCGGGGGAUAACUAUUGGAAACGAUAGCUAAUACCGCAUGACAACAGUUAUUGCAUGAUAACUGUUUAAAAGGGGCAACUGCUCCACUACCAGAUGGACCUGCGUUGUAUUAGCUAGUUGGUGAGGUAACGGCUCACCAAGGCGACGAUACAUAGCCGACCUGAGAGGGUGAGCGGCCACACUGGGAGGGAGACACGGCCCAGACUCCUACGGGAGGCAGCAGUAGGGAAUCGUCGGCAAUGGACGGAAGUCUGACCGAGCAACGCCGAGUGAGUGAAGAAGGUUUUCGGAUCGGAAAGCUCGGUUGUAAGAGAAGAACGAGUGUGAGAGUGGAAAGUUCACACUGUGACGGUAGCUGACCAGAAAGCGACGGCUAACUACGUG
This 495-nucleotide ribosomal RNA is filed under the name uncultured bacterium. RNAcentral's name for it is "partial 16S ribosomal RNA". It matches the Rfam family "Bacterial small subunit ribosomal RNA", at positions 28 to 507 of the family's 1533-position model. The record is from RNAcentral.